CUAGAUCAGCAGUCGCCAGCCUUUUGGACCUUGCGGAUCACCAGUGGUUUGCGGACCACCAGUUGGUGACUGCUUCUUUAGAU
This 83-nucleotide microRNA precursor is filed under the name Eptesicus fuscus (big brown bat). Its description in RNAcentral is "microRNA efu-mir-9254 precursor". The record is from miRBase by way of RNAcentral. Lineage: Eukaryota; Metazoa; Chordata; Mammalia; Chiroptera; Vespertilionidae.